This is a non-coding RNA of Oryza glumipatula, 180 nucleotides long. NCBI's taxonomy places the organism in Eukaryota, Viridiplantae, Streptophyta, Magnoliopsida, Poales, Poaceae. The record is from Rfam.
AUUAAACGUAGUUAUGAGUUUCCUUGUCUAACUUUGAUCAUCUGUCUUAUUUAAAAUUUUUUAUGAUUAGUAUUUUUAUUGUUAUUAGAUGAUAAAACAUGAAAAGUACUAUUUUUCAAAAAAAAAAUAAAUAAGACGUACAAUUAAAAUUUGACACUGAAACUCAUGUUUGCGCUUAAA